UUGUGUAGCUGUCGGCUACUGGCGGCUGUUUCGACGUGCUCUCCCGGUCCUCGCUUGUGGAGGAGAGGAGGGCGGUGGUGGCUGCCGCCACGGUGCUGAGGAAGUGCCCGCUGGCUUUCCUAUCUGAGAGGGCUGGGGGAGAGCUGGCAGAGCCUUUGCAUUACUCUCUGCAUUACUCUCUGCAGUGGCACCUCAGCUUCACGGGGCUGGAGGCCAAAGCAGGGAGAAGCUGGUCUGCAGCCCACUCCAUUACAGUUCUAAGUUCUACAUGAUGAAAUAUCUGGUGUUUGGAAUUCCUUUUUGAAGUUCUCAAUAGUUGGAUGCAGAAACCUGUGUGAAAAUAUCCACUUUCAAAUUCAGGUAAACAGAAGAAUUGAACAAUCAAUUCCUCAAAAUGAGCAGAAAAACUUCCAAGUGUUUCAGCUUGACUUUGUGACAGUAAUUCUGCAGUGUAGAUUCAGCACGUGAACAGUGUCUGAACUUCAGAAGAGAACUGUCCUGCUCCAGAGGAGGGGUCUGAUGCCCAAGUUCACACAGGAAGCCAAUGCAAGAGCAGCAGCUUUUCUCCUGGGUCUCACAUUGGCACUUGGACAGCUGAACCCAGCUUCCUGCAUUCUGAGCUCAAGCAGGGCACAGGGACACAUUCAUUUGGCCAAGGGAUGGUGUCUCCAUGAAGAUAAGACCAUUGGCUCUCUAUGGAAAAAAAAAAGUUUUUCUCAAAUGCAGGAUAUGGUGACAGAGGAUUCAGUGAACAGUGGAAUUCCCACCAACAUGGAACGGCUUGUGGCAAAUCUGAAGUCCAAGGCUAUCCUUGGCUGAAGAGACCAUGAAGUGAGGGAGUUAAGAUUCAUACGGCAGCCAGAGCAAGCUCACUACUUGUGGAUGCCUUAUCCCUAACCAUAAAAACUGAGGAUUAGAAUCUACAGUCAUUGAAUCCUUUAUACAUAUUACUCUUCAUUUUACAUUUAUGGAGUCCAACACAAACCAGUAAAUGUGGGAAUACAAGAAAAACUGUUCAGAGCAGCAGCUGUGGAGCAAGAUAAACAACAUGAAAACCAAGGACACCUCUAAAAGAAGAAAGAACGACUCAUGGCUCUGAUUGGAUAAGCACCUGCACAAACAGUUGAAGAGUGUUUUGUAGAAUGCUCUAUUGACAUGUAAAGGUGGAUGGGAAAGUUGUAGGGUUGAUGGGAAAGCUAGAAAAAGAAAACUUGUAUAUAAGUGAUGUGAGAACUUGUAAUAAAUGAUUGGGAUCGUUCACAUCUGAGUCCGUGCAUCAGAUGCUGCAAGUAAAGAUGCCCAUAUAUAAUUGUAACUCCAGUAAAAGAUGUUCAUUCUGUAAACACUUAUUCAUUUAGGUAGCAAUUAGUUGAUUUGAUUUUACUCACAGUAUAACUCUAAACCACAGAUAUUGUAGAUUAUUUUCAGAAUUGGGAAUGCACAUUAUCAAAACAUAAGUUUUUUAAAGUUUUUUUUUUAAGUUAUCAAAACAUAAGUUUUUUUUUUAAUUAAAAAAUUAUUUAAGAAGAAUUAUUAUUAAGAAGUAUUAAUUAAGGAGAAUUCUUCUUCUUAGUAUGUUAGACUCUAUUAAGUUUGCUUGGAACUGUGUUAGGGAAGAGAAGACAUUUUUCAAAAUGGACAAAUUUCUGAAUGUGCUGUCAUGCUAUAAUAUUGGUUCUUGACAUAGCACUUUUUUCCUCCUUCAGAAUAUGACUUCACAUAUCAGUAGUCCUCAAAUUCACAGGCACGUGUCAGCUUUACCAGCUGCUCAUUAAUUUAUAUAUUUUAAAGAAGGCAGAGAAAUAUGGAAAGCUUGUUUCUUAUCAAGUGAGUCAAAUGUGCGUAUGAACUUAAAGAGGAAACAUAAUGGGUCAACAGGACAAAACUCCCACACUCAAUUCCUGUCUGUUUGAUGAGUUCCUUCACCAGAGUUUGAUCCUAGGAAUGUGCACAUUUAUAGCACAGUGUUCCUUAUUUUAAAACAGCUGUGAUUCACUGUAUGGAGGGUAGGAGAACUGAGAAGUUUGAGUACAUUAGCUAUUUUAAAGGAGGAAAAAAAAUACCCUUUUUUCAUUUUUCUGGAAGAAAUUUAGCAGGCAGAAUAUUUAAGCAGCACAUUUAGUCUUAUAUUUGAUCCUGCCACCAGUUACUUUCUACUUCUGCAAGCAGCUUACUUUGUCACUUAGUAUUAAAUGUAUUACCCACAGAGCAGUAAUUACAUUUGACACAUAAUUAUUAUGGUUUUGAUGACAAGAAGGCCUUUUCUUUUCCUGCUUUCAUAACAUAUAUUCCUGAUAGUGUUGGCUUGCUGAAUACAGUUAGUUUAAAAGCACUUGGAUUUAAAUUGAACCCUUGGACAAAGAAUAAAAUGAAAUGGUAAAGAAAGGGUGAGUACAUUUGAAAAUUCCACAGAUGAUCUCACACGAGUAGAAAGGAAAGCACAGGAAAGAAAGCCUUUAAGUGUUGUUAACGCAAAAGGAGAAAGAGCUGCUCACUGCAGCCAUGCCAGAUCCCCAACAGGAAAGGAGUGCUUUUAAAGUUAAUAAAUUGAAGGAGGUUUGGAAAAAACGGAGGCUCCUGGCAAGGCCACAUAAACUACACAAAUGACUUUCUAAUCUUGCCACCUGGGCAUUUUUCCAGCUCUGCACUCUGAGUCACCCCCAGCUGCAGGCCUGGAUGAGCAGUUUAACAAUCCUUCAGUUUUUUACUUUUUUUUUUAAUGAUCAGAAUUGGAGUAUCAUGUUUCUGGAGCCUGGGGGUUGUGUGGUAUUCAAGCAGGGUGAGUGCUUGGAAUUCCUCCAACCAUACCUGCAGCUGCCUCUCAGGAACGGUUAGAAACCUAAAGCUGCAAUGUUUGGGCUAUUAACUUCUAGCUACCUUGUCUCCUCUUGAUUUCUAAUGGCACACAUGAGAAGCAGUUUGGAAGGCAGUAAAUACACCUCUAUCUUUUUAAAAAUAAAGUUACAAGAGAUGGAGGGAGCAACAUUAAUGCUGGGAAUCCUUCAGCUGAGCAGUUUUGAAGGAAACCUGAGAGGAAAAGAAUGACCUGGCUUCCUUCUCUAAUCUGUGAGCUGAACAUCAGUGUCAAGGAAGCUGAACUUGAUGUACAAGGGAGCCUUCUUUUUGAUGUGUGCUCUUCAAUCAGUGCUGAAACAAUGAUAAUUAAGUUAACAUACUAUAAAGCAGCUCUAAUUUUAGCCUGGCUUGUUAUUGUAAGCGUUGGUAGGGAAUGGUAGAGGGGGAGGCAGAGGCUGCUAUGAGUGACUAAUGCUGUAUUUCACACUCAUAAGCCAUUUUUAGUAAUGUGGGAUAUAAAAAUAAGCUUUCAGUAAAAUGUUUCCUAUUUGACUUCUGUUUCCUUUCUUCUUUCCCUCUCAACGAUGGAUUUAACUAAUUACUCUUUUAGCUGGAUGUUGAUAGACAGGUAUUUAUUAUUGGUACUGUAAGCCCCUAAAUUUUUUUCCACAGUGAGUCCACAAACGUAUACAUUAUACUAUGAUUCUCUGGGGCUGUCAGAGUUACAGAACAGCCUGAGGCAUAGCAGUAUGAUAAAGUUUUUAGGCCCUGUUUAGUUAAGACUGAAAAUCUGGGACCCAGCCAAUCUAUACCACUCAGGGCUCUUUUCACAGUCCAAAAUGAUUUGGCUUAAACAUUUCCAACUGUGAUGAGGUCCCAUUUCAGUGAUUACACAGUCAUUCACUUUUCCACAUCAACAUCAAAGUCAUUAACAACGGAGUAUUAUUGCACUGGCUGGAAUUCAGUUAAGGACUAGAGGGAUGUUGCUCUUUAUUAAGAUAAAUCAUUGCCUUGGUUAUGUCACCCAUGAAAUAAUCAAUUUACUGUGUUGGUUAAUUUCCUUCCUCUUUGAUCUGUGAAUUAAAUUCAACAGAUCAUUGUUUCACACAACUGCCGUGAAAAGGAUGCCUUAAAAGAAAUGUGCCACAAUUUCUGAUGAUAGAAGUCCAAUAAGUAUGUAAAACAAGAUGACUGGAAGUGACCUAAGAACUUUGUUGAUUUUUUUUUUUCUUUCCAUUCUUCCUUUCAAUGAUUUCCUUUGAAAGCUUCAGGGGAUAAUGAACCAUCAGCACCCAUUUGGGUGAUCCUCACUUAAAAUUCCUGAAGAAUUAACGAGAGGAAAGAGAAAAACUAGCAGAAUUAACUCUGAAGCUUUCAGAUGAGUUAGGUUUGUGCCAGAGCCAGUGAAAAUGUUUUCACCUAAGUGUAUGGAAAUGUAUUGGUAAAUUUAUGAGAUGUACAUACUUGGAUGCUUACUCUGAGGAAUUUUCUAGAAAAAUUCUACUCUCACACCAAGCCAAAUAUUGUGAUCAAAAUAAAUCUAAAUAAUACAAUGUAUUUGUAUUGGUUCCUAUUCCAAUCUUCUUUUGCAUUGUACUAUAUAUUCUGAAAUUGAAACAUAAAUAAAUAAGUGAACAAGUUAGGGACAAUAUUGCAUACUUGCCUAGUCACACACAACUGCGUUGAGAAGGUCACUGUAAAUGAUAAGUAUUUCAGAUAGACUUUGAGAUAAACUUUAUGCAGCAUUAUAGUUCUAAUUGUGGAACCAAGACACUAAGCUUGCAAGUUUUUGUCUCUAAGGUUCUAGAACAUGAAUUAGUGAGUACUAAUGCUAGUAUUUUUGAAAGAAAAGGCAUAUUAAAAUAUUACUAUAAUAAUUGAGCUAGAAUUCCCAAUGGAACUAACAAUAAAUUAACACCUUUUUUUAUCUCCCUUUUGUACCAGUAAAAUAUUUUCUCUCAUCUUUAGUUCAUAGAUCUGGUUUGUAGUAAGGGACUGCUAGACUACUUAGUUAUGCAGGAUGCUCCAAAAGUAAUGCCUCCUAUUUAUUUCCAUACAACAGAUACAAAAAACCCAAUAACACCAUUUGUUAGAACAAAUUCUCAGCUAUAAAG
Lagopus muta (rock ptarmigan) is the source of this 4910-nucleotide long non-coding RNA. RefSeq lists it as uncharacterized. The record is from RefSeq and is a predicted model, not a curated record. The transcript has 8 exons. Lineage: Eukaryota; Metazoa; Chordata; Aves; Galliformes; Phasianidae.